AGAAUGCAUUAGAAACCCUGUAUUA
RNAcentral lists this non-coding RNA (25 nucleotides) under Rattus norvegicus (Norway rat). Lineage: Eukaryota; Metazoa; Chordata; Mammalia; Rodentia; Muridae. The record is from RNAcentral.